GGAUCCAGACUUUGAUCCUGGCUCAGGAUGAACGCUAGCUACAGGCUUAACACAUGCAAGUCGAGGGGAAACGAUAUUGGAAGCUUGCUUCCGAUAGGCGUCGACCGGCGCACGGGUGAGUAACGCGUAUCCAACCUGCCCACCACUUGGGGAUAACCUUGCGAAAGUAAGACUAAUACCCAAUGACGUCUCUAGAAGACAUCUGAAAGAGAUUAAAGAUUUAUCGGUGAUGGAUGGGGAUGCGUCUGAUUACCUUGUUGGCGGGGUAACGGCCCACCAAGGCGACGAUCAGUAGGGGUUCCGAGAGGAAGGUCCCCCACAUUGGAACUGAGACACGGUCCAAACUCCUACGGGAGGCAGCAGUGAGGAAUAUUGGUCAAUGGGCGAGAGCCUGAACCAGCCAAGUAGCGUGCAGGAUGACGGCCCUAUGGGUUGUAAACUGCUUUUAUAAGGGAAUAAAGUGAGUCUCGUGAGACUUUUUGCAUGUACCUUAUGAAUAAGGACCGGCUAAUUCCGUGCCAGCAGCCGCGGUAAUACGGAAGGUCCGGGCGUUAUCCGGAUUUAUUGGGUUUAAAGGGAGCGUAGGCCGGAGAUUAAGCGUGUUGUGAAAUGUAGACGCUCAACGUCUGCACUGCAGCGCGAACUGGUUUCCUUGAGUACGCACAAAGUGGGCGGAAUUCGUGGUGUAGCGGUGAAAUGCUUAGAUAUCACGAAGAACUCCGAUUGCGAAGGCAGCUCACUGGAGCGCAACUGACGCUGAAGCUCGAAAGUGCGGGUAUCGAACAGGAUUAGAUACCCUGGUAGUCCGCACGGUAAACGAUGGAUGCCCGCUGUUGGUCUGAAUAGGUCAGCGGCCAAGCGAAAGCAUUAAGCAUCCCACCUGGGGAGUACGCCGGCAACGGUGCAACUCAAAUGAAUUGACGG
This 924-nucleotide ribosomal RNA is filed under the name uncultured Bacteroidota bacterium. RNAcentral's name for it is "bacterial SSU rRNA". It matches the Rfam family "Bacterial small subunit ribosomal RNA", at positions 1 to 916 of the family's 1533-position model. Lineage: Bacteria; Pseudomonadati; Bacteroidota. The record is from RNAcentral.